Molecule: ribosomal RNA, 253 nt
Filed under: uncultured bacterium
Lineage: Bacteria
Description: partial 16S ribosomal RNA
Rfam family: Bacterial small subunit ribosomal RNA
Source: RNAcentral
UACGGAGGGUGCAAGCGUUAUCCGGAUUUACUGGGUUUAAAGGGUGCGCAGGCGGAUAUGUAAGUCAGUGGUGAAAUCUCUGGGCUUAACCCGGAAAUUGCCAUUGAUACUAUAUAUCUUGAAUGCUGUGGAGGUAAGCGGAAUAUGUCAUGUAGCGGUGAAAUGCUUAGAUAUGACAUAGAACACCUAUUGCGAAGGCAGCUUACUACGCAGAUAUUGACGCUCAUGUACGAAAGCGUGGGGAUCAAACAGG